RNAcentral lists this long non-coding RNA (244 nucleotides) under Carica papaya (papaya). RNAcentral describes it as "long non-coding RNA (CPAP_LNC014871)". The record is from RNAcentral. Lineage: Eukaryota; Viridiplantae; Streptophyta; Magnoliopsida; Brassicales; Caricaceae.
GCGGCGGCGAGUCGCCUCGGGUUGGCUGUUUUCGGCCGUUUUCGGCUGAAUUCGGCCACACUCGCAUCGGUCCUUGUCAGAAAACAACCCUAGGGCCCUCGGGGGGCCAAAAAAUCACGGAAAAGCGGAGCUUACCGGCGGCGGCGCUCUCGGGUACGGCGACCCUCCGGCGAGGUUCGUGUUUUGGUGAUUUGGCUUCGGUCAACCUGUAGAGAAAAGAAUGGUGAUCACGGUGAUAUAAAAA